Molecule: ribosomal RNA, 248 nt
Filed under: uncultured bacterium
Lineage: Bacteria
Description: partial 16S ribosomal RNA
Rfam family: Bacterial small subunit ribosomal RNA
Source: RNAcentral
AGAUGGCGACCGGCGCACGGGUGAGUAACACGUAUCCAACCUGCCGAUAACCCGGGGAUAGCCUUUCGAAAGAAAGAUUAAUACCCGAUGGCAUAAUUAGACCGCAUGGUCUUAUUAUUAAAGAAUUUCGGUUUAUCGAUGGGGAUGCGUUCCAUUAGGCAGUUGGUGAGGUAACGGCUCACCAAACCUUCGAUGGAUAGGGGUUCUGAGAGGAAGGUCCCCCACAUUGGAACUGAGACACGGUCCAA